CUUUGCCAGACCCAAGCCAUCCUCCGUGAAGGAAACGCGUGUCCCCUGUGCUUCCAUCGUACGCGCGCUUACACAACCGCCUUUGUGACUCAUCCUUUUGGCUUCUGCAAUUGCGUUUAAUAAAGUGAAGGCUGAGGUUUCACCCCACAGAGAACAAAGCCCUCCUGGAUGCAGGACGAUGCAUCGUCGAGCCGUCCCACGAGCGGUGCAUUCCUGAGAGCCGCUGAGAGCAGACGUCUGCGCUGCCUGCACCGGCUGCGUGCACCCUGCGUCCUGCUCUUGGGGGUGUGGAGGAUUUCUAAGUGUGCUGCUUUGAGGUGGGGAGAGUGUUAAAGAUGGGCACAGGCUUCUGCUUCACACAACCUGGACAAAUACCUCCUGACUAUGACUUAGAAGGCAAAGCUCAGCUCUACUUCCCUGUGUCCCUUAAAUGCGGGUGAUGCCCUGCUGUCUGCGUGCUGUCUUCAUCCCAGGGCCGAAGUGCAGCUUUGAGGUACAUGGGUCUCGAAGCAGGUUGUAAGAUAAGGGUUGUGUAGGAGAACUGGUGCAGAGGCAGACCUUGCUGGGUUUCCAAGCCACUACUUACUGCUAUGCCUGGAUCUGUUGGAAUAACCAGGACAUCUGCACAUGAAACAAAGCUGUGCUUUUGCCUGCUGGUGGUGGCUGGUUUU
This is a long non-coding RNA of Pezoporus flaviventris, 671 nucleotides long. RefSeq lists it as uncharacterized. NCBI's taxonomy places the organism in Eukaryota, Metazoa, Chordata, Aves, Psittaciformes, Psittacidae. The transcript is spliced from 3 exons. The record is from RefSeq and is a predicted model, not a curated record.